GCAGCUAUAGUGUAAUGGUAGCACUCAACUCCUCCAAAGUUGUAUUGCCGGUUCAAAUCCGGUUAGCUGCUCCA
This 74-nucleotide transfer RNA is filed under the name Caudoviricetes sp. RNAcentral describes it as "tRNA-Gly". It matches the Rfam family "tRNA". From Rfam's summary of the family: Transfer RNA (tRNA) molecules are approximately 80 nucleotides in length. Lineage: Duplodnaviria; Heunggongvirae; Uroviricota; Caudoviricetes. The record is from RNAcentral.